CGGUAAAAGUUAGAUUGAAUAUAGUUUAAAAUAAAAAUAAAUUUAUUAGGUGAAAUUUUAAAUUUAUAAAAUUUUUAAGAGUAGGAUAAUUGAGGCUUGUAAAUUUUAAUAAUAAACUAGGAUUAGAUACCCUAUUAUUUAAAAUGUAAAUUAUUAACUUGAGUAGUAGUAGUUAUGUUCUUGAAACUUAAAAAAUUUGGCGGUAUUUUAGUCUAUUCAGAGGAACCUGUUCUAUAAUCGAUAAUCCACGAUGGACCUUACUUAAGUUUGUUUUUCAGUUUAUAUACCGUCGUUAUCAGAAUAUUUUAUAAGAAAAAUAAUUUUCUAGAUUUUUUAUAAGAAUUAAUAUCAGAUCAAGGUGUAGCUUAUACUUAAGAAGAAAUGGGUUACAAUAAAUUUAUUUAAAUGGAUUCAAAUAUGAAAAAUUUGUUGAAAGUGGAUUUGAUAGUAAAGUUAUAGAGAAAAAUAACUUGAGUUUAGCUCUAAAAUAUGCACACAUCGCCCGUCGCUC
Molecule: ribosomal RNA, 511 nt
Filed under: Helcomyza ustulata
Lineage: Eukaryota; Metazoa; Arthropoda; Insecta; Diptera; Helcomyzidae
Description: partial 12S ribosomal RNA
Source: RNAcentral